This 626-nucleotide long non-coding RNA is filed under the name Cavia porcellus (domestic guinea pig). RNAcentral describes it as "lncRNA (ENSCPOG00000032568.1)". The record is from RNAcentral. Lineage: Eukaryota; Metazoa; Chordata; Mammalia; Rodentia; Caviidae.
GGAUGCAGGGCUGCACUGGCAGCCAGGCCACCUCAGAUGGCGGUGACCUGUGCACCUGCUCCCGGGAUACUCAGACUGCUAAGAGGACACUGAUGUGUGCUUUCAUUUUUAUGGCCCAAGCCACAGAAAUAAUUACAGCUGUUUUUUUCUUUUUCUGAGAAGAGGCUCUGUGUGUUUGCAAAAGAACAAUGUGACUGCAAGAUCCAGCUCCCUGAGUCCUGAGAGCGUAGGGCCUCAGCUGCCCAGUCUUGCAGUCCUGGAAUCAGGCUGUGUCCUCCUGUCUCAGCCUGCCUUUUCCUAUGCUGCACACACUGGCGCAUGCGUGCACACUGUCUCACACCCUCCCCUUUCCCCUCCUCUGCUGUGUGUCCUGCCUUCCUGGUGACCUGUGCCCUGCGCUCAGAUGCAGCAGCCCUACAAGGAGGGCAGCCAAGAGUGAGGAGCGGCGGGAAACCAUGGGCAACGCCGUCCUGCGGGCACUUGGUUGCAUGGGAAAGAAUCAGAAGAAGAACAGGAAGGAGAACCGAGGUGUGAAAAGGAAACGGUGAGGAAGUCUCCCUCCGAGAUCUUGUCCAGGCCCCUCCAGACCCUCCGCCCCUUGAGUGCUUAGGCUUUAGCACCGCAGU